GCAUGUUCUCUGGCUGCGACAUCUGUCAACCCAUUGAUCGCCAGGGUUGAUUCGGCUGAUCUGGCUGGCUAGGCGGGUGUCCCCUUCCUCCCUCACCACUCCAUGUGCGUCCCUCCCAAAGCUGCGCUCUCCGUCGAAGAGGACGACCAUCCCCGAUAGAGGAGAGGACCGUUCUUCCGUCAAGGGUAUACGAGUAGCUGCGCUCCCCUUCUAGAACCUCCAAACAAGCUCUCAAAAUUGCUAAGAGAAAAUAAAAAUCUUGAUAUUAUUUCAUAUCAACUCUAUUAUGAAAAAUAUGCUUUUAUGAUGUUUAU
This 314-nucleotide small nuclear RNA is filed under the name Neogale vison (American mink). RNAcentral describes it as "Neovison vison (American mink) 7SK RNA (ENSNVIG00000020976.1)". It matches the Rfam family "7SK RNA". Rfam says of the family: 7SK was discovered as an abundant small nuclear RNA in the mid-70s but a possible function has only recently been suggested. Two independent studies have found that 7SK RNA binds the CDK9/cyclin T complex (known as elongation factor P-TEFb). P-TEFb activates transcription by phosphorylating the C-terminal domain of RNA polymerase II. Lineage: Eukaryota; Metazoa; Chordata; Mammalia; Carnivora; Mustelidae. The record is from Rfam by way of RNAcentral.